CCUCCCUCUUGACUGAGGCUACCAUUUCCUAGGGAGUACUGGGCUGGGGAGUGUCUGUCGGAGGCGGAAGGUAGCGGCUAUUUGUCUUUCUUGGCAGAGAGUCUCAAAUAAAGAAAAGCCAUCAGAAGCCAAAACUUCCUGGGCUUGGUUCAAGACUCUAUCCCCACUGCACUGAAGCAAGUUUGCCAGGCCCUCCCUUGGGCGGCCGACGCACUGCCUCCAGCGCUCCCCGGCGGCGCCCCCUCCAUACUCUAUCUCCCGGCUUUCUGCUCCCAGCUCUCUGGGAGAAGAGUGACUCUUCUCUGUCCCCCGACCAACACGAGGCCCUUCUCUGCCGGCCUCUUGGGGAAGAAAGUUUGUUGCUAGUG
Long non-coding RNA from Monodelphis domestica (gray short-tailed opossum), 368 nucleotides. RefSeq lists it as uncharacterized. NCBI's taxonomy places the organism in Eukaryota, Metazoa, Chordata, Mammalia, Didelphimorphia, Didelphidae. The record is from RefSeq and is a predicted model, not a curated record.